Molecule: RNA transcript, 3015 nt
Organism: Hypanus sabinus (Atlantic stingray)
Lineage: Eukaryota; Metazoa; Chordata; Chondrichthyes; Myliobatiformes; Dasyatidae
Exons: 6
Source: RefSeq, a predicted model, not a curated record
AGGAGGAGGAGGAGGAGGAGUGAAGUAAAAAGCUGGGAUGUUGGUGAAAGAGAUACAGGGUUGGAGAAGGGGAAUCUGAUAGGAGAGGACAGGAGGCCAUGGAAGAAAGGGAAGGGGAGGAGCUCCACAGGGAGGUGAUGAGCAGGCAAAGUGAGAGAGGGAAAUGGGAAUGGGGAACCCUAUCUUACCUGCCCACCACCUCCUUCUGUUGUUCCUCCCCGGUUCCCGUUCUGCAUUCUGUGAUGGUUUUACCUCGAUGGAUUGUACCGGUGAAAUGGUCUGUCUGAAUGGUUAUUCUUUACCAAACGCACUGAAAUAUUUGACUGCGAUCGGGGACCAAAACUUUGCGAGCGAGUGAGGAAGAGGUGUAUUCCUCCGCGACUGAAGCGGGGGACUAGUUGCCUGCAGGUGGAGGAGAGCGGGGCGGUGAGAUGGCCAGCUGGGUGAGUCCCGACCCGGCGGCAGAUCGGCCUGAAGCAGCUCGUUAACUUCAGCAGCGGCGAACAGAACACCACAAGUCCCCCACAACCCUGUACCUUGGGCAGGUGUAUGGACAACGUGACGCAGGACCAGAAGUUCCAUUCUGUUCCCAAUCACCCCGAUGGUCCAUCACCAGCGAGUGGAUUAAUUCCAGGAAUGACGGCAGCCGCGAUCUUCAUUGUCUUCCUGCUGGGAUUGUACACGAUUCUGUGGAAAUGCAUGAGUUUCCAGACUAACAGGCACCGAGGGAGCGGGCGGUCGAAGCUGAGGACUGCGCACGUCUCCUGCUGACCCCGGGUUUGACGGCGCGUGGGCCCCGUGGAUCCGUCAGACCUCCCGUGCGAGCAGCUGACCGGCCCACCGCUGACCCGUCGUGAAUGGAGCCUCCGCGACGGUGGGGGUGUAAAACGUCAGUGCUGGCACUACGUCUGCAUCCACCGCCUCCAGCCUGCGGAGACCAGAUCGAGUCCUCUCCCUGUUCCACCUUUCUGCGGUUGUGGGCGACCCUUUCCAUCUGAAUAUAAAUGGGACCUUGAAACUGGGCUGACUGGAACAGCAAGCAACUUAAAUUGCCUCUAACCCAACUCUCUGUAGUAUUAAGCAGAAACAUUAAAAUCAGCUGGUUACUGUAAGGGUUAAAUCUGGCUGGUAACUGCAAGGUGUUUGGUAACCCUGGCCAGGGAUUCACUUUUAAAUCGGGCCCCAGUUUGGUACGCUGACGUUGUAAUGUUCAUCUCCAGCCGUGUGUUAUGGAAGUACUGUUCAGUGUAUUCCCCGGGUGAAUGGGGAAAUGCGGUUGGCUCUUCUCCCUGUCCCAGUGAGGGUUCUCUACGGGGGCAUCAAAUGGGGACACAACUGCAGCUCGCUCACUUACACCUUCCGAGCAAAUCGACUGUAACCCAAGAGCUCCUGGGGCAGGGCGUACGGGCAGACGGCCGUCCGCCGAAACGGGUGACCUGCCGAGUGUGGGGCAGCCAUGCCGGUGGCGCUGCCUGAAGGGAAUAGGGUCGCUCUGCAUGCCAGCCUGGGCUUGAAUUACCUCCUUCCAAUGAUUCAGUCCAAUUAAAACAUCACAGCACACUACAGGCCCUUCGGCCCACAAUAUUGUGCUGACCUUUUCACCUACCCCAAGAUCAAUCUAACCCUUCCCUUCACUUUCCUUUCAUCCUUGUCAGUCUAAGAGUUUCUUAGACAUUCCAAGUAUAUCGCCUGUCCCACCACCCCGGCAGCAUAUCCCAAGCACACACCACUCUGUGUAACAAAAAACAAUUUACCCGUGACAUCCACCCUGUAUGUUCCUCCAUUCACCUUAUAAUUAUGUUCUAACAUAUUAACCAUUUCAGCCUUGGCCUCUGGCUGUCCACUCUUAUCUAUGCCUCUUAUCAUCUUUUACACCUCCAUCAUCUCCUCUCAUUCUCCUCCUCCAAUUGAUCAUUGAUGACCCAUUACUGAGAACAGGUAAGAUCCAAUGGGACGUUGGCUCCCAACCGGGGGUGAGUGUUGGAUAGUAACUCUCGGACCUUGGGAAGCAGAGCUGUCACCCUGGAAGACGAGGAACCAGGAGCUGCAGUGAUCUGGUAUGUUUUGGUGUCCACCUCUGGCGCAAGUCAACAAGUAGAGAAAUGAUGUCAAAGACUUUAUGAAGGAGCUGGAGUACUGGGGCAGCACGAUACUCCUUACUGGAAAUAAGGCUUUCACUGGGAAGACCGUGUUGUCUAUGAAAGAUUCCAGCAUGGUUUUUAGGGGAAUGUUUGCUGUUGAGCCUGGCUUAUGUCCUUUGACUCUUGGACUCCGUAGUGUGGAUGGUGAAAGGAUUGAUGGGACAGGACACCACAGGAACAGCCCCUUCGGCCCACAGUGUCGAGCCAAACCAAUGAAAUUAGUAAUGAAAAUGGUUAACUGAUGUCUUCUGCCAUGUCUAAUGUCCAUAUCCUUCCAUUUUCCUCACAGAAAUAAGAGUCUCUUAAAAGUCUCUAAUGUUCUGCCUCUACCACCACCUCAGACACCCACCACUUUGUGUACAUAAAAAAAAAGUCCCUCACAUCUCCUUUGUAAUUAAUCCCUCUCACCUUAAAUGCAUGCUCUCGGAUAUUAGACAUUUCAACUGUCGGAAAAAAGAUAUUGUCAUCUAUCUAUGCCUCUCAUAAUCUUAUAAACCUCUCUCAGAUCCUCCCCUCAGCCUCCAACGCUCCAAAGAAAACAACCCAAGUUUGUCCAACCUCUUGUUAUAGCACAUGCCCUCUAGUCCGGGCAGCAUCCUGGUAAACCUCUCCCCCCUGCCCCCCUCAAUGAAGUGUUGAUUAAGUUCCUUUUAUUGAGGGAAUCUUAGGAUGGGGGGGGGGUGAAUUUCAGGAUUAAGGCUGGUAAUGAAGUUGUUCCAAGCAGUUGAGGCUUAAAUUGAAUGGCUGGGGGAAGAGUGUCAAACAUUAAUAAUACGAAAUGUCUAUGGAAUUAAGAUGCGGAGAAUGAUCAAGAAAGUUGAGGGGAGCUGUCCUUGUACCUAUUCCGAUUCUGAAUACAGACCAAGAAAAACUU